Molecule: non-coding RNA, 148 nt
Filed under: Gorilla gorilla gorilla (western lowland gorilla)
Lineage: Eukaryota; Metazoa; Chordata; Mammalia; Primates; Hominidae
Source: Rfam by way of RNAcentral
GCUGGGUGUGGUGGCCCACGCCUGUAAUCCCAGCUACUCGGGAGGCUGAGGCAGGAGAAUCGCUUGAACCCGGGAGGUGGAGGUUGCAGUGAGCCGAGAUGGUGCCACUGCAUUCCAGCCUGGGUGACAGAGUGAGACACUGUCUCAA